UACGUGGGGGGCAAGCGUUGUCCGGAUUUAUUGGGCGUAAAGAGCGUGUAGGCGGCCAUGUAGGUCCGUUGUGAAAACUCGAGGCUCAACCUCGAGACGCCGAUGGAAACCAUGAGGCUAGAGUCCGGAAGAGGAGAGUGGAAUUCCUGGUGUAGCGGUGAAAUGCGUAGAUAUCAGGAGGAACACCGGUGGUGUAGGCGGCGUUCUGGGCCGUAACUGACGCUGAGGAGCGAAAGCGUGGGGAGCGAACAGG
Molecule: ribosomal RNA, 253 nt
Filed under: uncultured bacterium
Lineage: Bacteria
Description: partial 16S ribosomal RNA
Rfam family: Bacterial small subunit ribosomal RNA
Source: RNAcentral